UACGUAGGGUGCAAGCGUUGUCCGGAAUUAUUGGGCGUAAAGAGCUCGUAGGCGGUUUGUCGCGUCUGCUGUGAAAACGCGAGGCUCAACCUCGCGCCUGCAGUGGGUACGGGCAGACUAGAGUGCGGGUAGGGGAGAUUGGAAUUCCCGGUGGUAGCGGAUGAAAUGCGCAGAUAUCGGGAGGAACACCGGUGGCGAAGGCGGUUCUCUGGGCCUUACCUGACGCUGGAGGAGCGAAAGCGUGGGGAGCGAACAGGA
Molecule: ribosomal RNA, 258 nt
Filed under: uncultured bacterium
Lineage: Bacteria
Description: partial 16S ribosomal RNA
Rfam family: Bacterial small subunit ribosomal RNA
Source: RNAcentral